GAGGGUAUAGCUCAGUGGUAGAGCAUGUGCUUAGCAUGCACGAGGUCCUGGGUUCAAUCCCCCAUACCUCCA
This 72-nucleotide transfer RNA is filed under the name Camelus ferus (Wild Bactrian camel). It matches the Rfam family "tRNA". Rfam says of the family: Transfer RNA (tRNA) molecules are approximately 80 nucleotides in length. Their secondary structure includes four short double-helical elements and three loops (D, anti-codon, and T loops). The record is from Rfam by way of RNAcentral. Lineage: Eukaryota; Metazoa; Chordata; Mammalia; Artiodactyla; Camelidae.